UACGUAGGGGCUAGCGUUGUCCGGAUUUAUUGGGCGUAAAGAGCGUGUAGGCGGCCAUGUAGGUCCGGUGUGAAAACUCGAGGCUUAACCUCGAGAUGUCAUCGGAAACCAUUUGGCUAGAGUCCGGAAGAGGAGAGUGGAAUUCCUGGUGUAGCGGUGAAAUGCGCAGAUAUCAGGAAGAACACCAAUGGCGAAAGCAGCUCUCUGGGACGGUACUGACGCUGAGACGCGAAAGCGUGGGGAGCGAACAGG
This 252-nucleotide ribosomal RNA is filed under the name uncultured bacterium. Its description in RNAcentral is "partial 16S ribosomal RNA". It matches the Rfam family "Bacterial small subunit ribosomal RNA", at positions 524 to 776 of the family's 1533-position model. The record is from RNAcentral.